This 262-nucleotide long non-coding RNA is filed under the name Elaeis guineensis (African oil palm). RNAcentral describes it as "long non-coding RNA (EGUI_LNC052622)". The record is from RNAcentral. Lineage: Eukaryota; Viridiplantae; Streptophyta; Magnoliopsida; Arecales; Arecaceae.
UAGCCCCUUACCCUUAGGGAAGCCCCUUGAUCUGAUGGGGGGAAUUUUUCUUUCUUUGAGUUUGGGCCUAAUGCCUUUGCUGUUGUAUAUUGAUGUGAGUUUGGGCCUAAUGCCUUUUCUAUCAUAUAUCGAGGGGAUCUUGUUCCUGAUUUGGUGCCAUUCACCUAUGGUCUUUGCCUGCGGCUUAGGUUCACUCAUCCUUGCAUCUAAGGUAAGUAAGGCUCCUUCGUUUCAAGUCCUAUCUUAAAGUCAAGUAUUGGUC